UCCCUUGUAGCUCAGUGGCAGAGCGCCCGCCUGUUAAGCGGAUGGUCGGAGGUUCGAUCCCUCCCAGGGGAG
This 72-nucleotide transfer RNA is filed under the name Brachybacterium kimchii. Its description in RNAcentral is "Brachybacterium sp. CBA3104 tRNA-Asn". It matches the Rfam family "tRNA". From Rfam's summary of the family: Transfer RNA (tRNA) molecules are approximately 80 nucleotides in length. Their secondary structure includes four short double-helical elements and three loops (D, anti-codon, and T loops). Further hydrogen bonds mediate the characteristic L-shaped molecular structure. tRNAs have two regions of fundamental functional importance: the anti-codon, which is responsible for specific mRNA codon recognition, and the 3' end, to which the tRNAs corresponding amino acid is attached (by aminoacyl-tRNA synthetases). tRNAs cope with the degeneracy of the genetic code in two manners: having more than one tRNA (with a specific anti-codon) for a particular amino acid; and 'wobble' base-pairing, i.e. permitting non-standard base-pairing at the 3rd anti-codon position. The record is from RNAcentral. Lineage: Bacteria; Bacillati; Actinomycetota; Actinomycetes; Micrococcales; Dermabacteraceae.